RNAcentral lists this non-coding RNA (25 nucleotides) under Cricetulus griseus (Chinese hamster). The record is from RNAcentral. Lineage: Eukaryota; Metazoa; Chordata; Mammalia; Rodentia; Cricetidae.
UACGGAGGCAGCUCUAAUGGGACAU